UCCAGUUAUGGUGAUAUUGUACCUAAAACAAUAACUGGUAAAAUAGUCGGUGGCGUAUGUUCAUUAAGUGGUGUAUUAGUUAUAGCUCUUCCUGUUCCUGUUAUUGUCUCCAAU
Molecule: regulatory RNA element, 114 nt
Organism: Lottia gigantea (owl limpet)
Lineage: Eukaryota; Metazoa; Mollusca; Gastropoda; Lottiidae
Rfam family: Potassium channel RNA editing signal
About the family: This family represents a group of sequences related to the human potassium channel Kv1.1 hairpin element which directs the efficient modification of an adenosine to inosine by an adenosine deaminase acting on RNA (ADAR). The ADAR modification causes an isoleucine/valine recoding event which lies in the ion-conducting pore of the potassium channel.
Source: Rfam